CAGCUAUUCCCUCCAUUCGGAAUUACUUGUCUCAAGAAUGGAUGUAUCUAGAACUAAAAUACGUCUAGAUACAUCCAUUUCUGCGACAAGUAAUUCCAAACAGAGGAAGUAUAUC
Triticum aestivum (bread wheat) is the source of this 115-nucleotide non-coding RNA. The record is from Rfam. Lineage: Eukaryota; Viridiplantae; Streptophyta; Magnoliopsida; Poales; Poaceae.